AGCGAACGCUAGCGGCGGGCCUAACACAUGCAAGUCGAGCGGAGAACUUCGGUUCUUAGCGGCGGACGGGUGAGUAACGCGUAGGUAAUGUGCCUUCUGGUGGGGAACAACCGUGCGAAAGCAUGGCUAAUACCGCAUAUGUCGAGAGAUGAAAGCCUUCGGGCGCCAGUAGAGCAGCCUGCGUCCCAUUAUUUAGUCCUAGUUGGUGAGGUAACGGCUCACCAAGGGUACGAUGGGUAGCUGGUCUGAGAGGAUGAUCAGCCACACUGGAACUGAGACACGGUCCAGACUCCUACGGGAGGCAGCAGUGGGGAAUAUUGCGCAAUGGGCGAAAGCCUGACGCAGCCACGCCGCGUGAGUGAUGAAGGCCUCCGGGUUGUAAAGCUCUGUCGGGAGGGAAGAAGGCGCGAGCCUGACGGUACCUCGCAAGAAAGCACCGGCUAACUCUGUGCCAGCAGACGCGGUAAAGUAGUCGUGU
This 478-nucleotide ribosomal RNA is filed under the name uncultured bacterium. RNAcentral's name for it is "bacterial SSU rRNA". It matches the Rfam family "Bacterial small subunit ribosomal RNA", at positions 29 to 533 of the family's 1533-position model. The record is from RNAcentral.